CUUUGUAUCCCGGAUCCUGAUAUUCCUCUUCGCAAACGAUGAGCCAUCAGUGGCGAAGAGGAAUAUCAAGACCCGGGAUAUAUAUGU
This 87-nucleotide microRNA precursor is filed under the name Symbiodinium microadriaticum. RNAcentral describes it as "microRNA smc-mir-12457 precursor". Lineage: Eukaryota; Dinophyceae; Suessiales; Symbiodiniaceae. The record is from miRBase by way of RNAcentral.